CCUACGGAUGGCUGCAGUGGGGAAUAUUGGACAAUGGGGGCAACCCUGAUCCAGCCAUGCCGCGUGUGUGAAGAAGGCCCUCGGGUUGUAAAGCACUUUCAGUGAGGAAGAACGCCUGGUGGUUAAUACCCAUCAGGAAAGACAUCACUCACAGAAGAAGCACCGGCUAACUCCGUGCCAGCAGCCGCGGUAAUACGGAGGGUGCGAGCGUUAAUCGGAAUUACUGGGCGUAAAGCGCGCGUAGGUGGCUUGAUAAGCCGGUUGUGAAAGCCCCGGGCUCAACCUGGGAACGGCAUCCGGAACUGUCAAGCUAGAGUGCAGGAGAGGAAGGUAGAAUUCCCGGUGUAGCGGUGAAAUGCGUAGAGAUCGGGAGGAAUACCAGUGGCGAAGGCGGCCUUCUGGACUGACACUGACACUGAGGUGCGAAAGCGUGGGUAGCAAACAGGAUUAGAUACCCGAGUAGUC
Molecule: ribosomal RNA, 465 nt
Filed under: Vreelandella stevensii
Lineage: Bacteria; Pseudomonadati; Pseudomonadota; Gammaproteobacteria; Oceanospirillales; Halomonadaceae
Description: partial 16S ribosomal RNA
Rfam family: Bacterial small subunit ribosomal RNA
Source: RNAcentral